This 484-nucleotide ribosomal RNA is filed under the name uncultured bacterium. Its description in RNAcentral is "partial 16S ribosomal RNA". It matches the Rfam family "Bacterial small subunit ribosomal RNA", at positions 30 to 507 of the family's 1533-position model. The record is from RNAcentral.
AUUGAACGCUGGCGGCAUGCCUUACACAUGCAUGUCGAACGGCAGCACGGACUUCGGUCUGGUGGCGAGUGGCGAACGGGUGAGUAAUGUAUCGGAACGUACCUUUCAGUGGGGGAUAACGUAGCGAAAGUUACGCUAAUACCGCAUAUUCUGUGAGCAGGAAAGCAGGGGAUCGAAAGACCUUGCGCUGAUUGAGCGGCCGAUAUCAGAUUAGCUAGUUGGUGGGGUAAAGGCCUACCAAGGCGACGAUCUGUAGCGGGUCUGAGAGGAUGAUCCGCCACACUGGAACUGAGACACGGUCCAGACUCCUACGGGAGGCAGCAGUGGGGAAUUUUGGACAAUGGGGGCAACCCUGAUCCAGCCAUGCCGCGUGAGUGAAGAAGGCCUUCGGGUUGUAAAGCUCUUUCGGCCGGGAAGAAAUCGCAUAGGCUAAUACCCUGUGUGGAUGACGGUACCGGAAUAAGAAGCACCGGCUAACUACGUG